Oryzias latipes (Japanese medaka) is the source of this 611-nucleotide long non-coding RNA. RefSeq lists it as uncharacterized. NCBI's taxonomy places the organism in Eukaryota, Metazoa, Chordata, Actinopteri, Beloniformes, Adrianichthyidae. The record is from RefSeq and is a predicted model, not a curated record.
UCAGAGCUUGCCUGAAGGACCGCACAUUUUCCCGUCAAGUUUGCUUUUUAUAAAUAUCAAUUAUUGCGUAGAGAGUGGCGUACGCCUUCUUUUGUGUGUACGCAACGUUUACAAAUGAGGCCCCUAGUUUUUUCAAAACUGGAGUAAUAGAGGCGAUUUUGAGAGGAUGUGGAACAGUACCGGACAUAAGAGAGGAAUGAAUAAUGUUGGUUAUGUCAUGGUGCCUCUGUCAGACUCCUCCCCCUCUCUCCUCUCUGCUUGGUUCCUGAUUAUUCCCAGCUGCUUCCACUCACCUCAUCGCCACACCUGCCUUCUAAAGGAGCUCCAAGAUCUUCAUUCAACGCCAGUCCGUUGCCCCUGAUGGAAACCUCAGCCACGAGUGGUCACCCACAGCAGCCGUAAUCCGGAAUCCUUUUCUGGUCUGUUCCCUCCAUCCUCACCACGAGCCUCUGCCGAACCAGCUGCCUCACGAGACGGACCCACGCUGCCGACUCCAGACCCGAACGAGCAGAUCCACCAGUGACGCCACGAGCCGCAGUUACAUUCUCGGACCUCCAGUAACUGUUACCUACCUGUCUGGCCAUCAUAUUAAAUCCACCUUCUCGCCAAGA